Molecule: transfer RNA, 66 nt
Filed under: Sinibotia robusta
Lineage: Eukaryota; Metazoa; Chordata; Actinopteri; Cypriniformes; Botiidae
Description: tRNA-Cys
Rfam family: tRNA
About the family: Transfer RNA (tRNA) molecules are approximately 80 nucleotides in length. Their secondary structure includes four short double-helical elements and three loops (D, anti-codon, and T loops). Further hydrogen bonds mediate the characteristic L-shaped molecular structure. tRNAs have two regions of fundamental functional importance: the anti-codon, which is responsible for specific mRNA codon recognition, and the 3' end, to which the tRNAs corresponding amino acid is attached (by aminoacyl-tRNA synthetases). tRNAs cope with the degeneracy of the genetic code in two manners: having more than one tRNA (with a specific anti-codon) for a particular amino acid; and 'wobble' base-pairing, i.e. permitting non-standard base-pairing at the 3rd anti-codon position.
Source: RNAcentral
AGCCUCGUAGUGGAGUACACGUUAGAUUGCAAAUCUGAAGACGCAGACUAAACCCUGCCGGGGCUU